ACCCCAUCCCGCGAAAAGUGACCGAUUGUGGUCGCCUGUCCCCAUCUAUGUUGAUGGAAUCGGACUAGCGGGGUGGGUUGCC
The submitters of this non-coding RNA (82 nucleotides) gave its source as unclassified sequences. The record is from Rfam.